GCUAGUUUGCAGUGGCUGCAGCAGGUGUUAUUCGAAGAGGAUGUUGUUGCUAAUUUGUUAGCGUCUCCCUUUUAAACAGUAACUUUCAACAAGAAGUUAAGUUUCAAAUGAUCAUCAUCAGCUGUUCCUGUCAAAGAAGUAAAGCCUUGUCCUAUACACGAAGAGAUGUAAUGGAUUUGAGAGACAAUCGUGGGACACAGAACAUCUAUUUUCUCAUUAACGUGUGGAUAAACAGAACAGCCUGGCCAGAGUGGCUGCCUGGCUUGCCUGACAACCUAUGGGUGGACCGAGGGCCAAGGACCCUGUUGUCCCUCUGGAUGUCACCCUGCUAC
Molecule: long non-coding RNA, 332 nt
Organism: Oncorhynchus gorbuscha (pink salmon)
Lineage: Eukaryota; Metazoa; Chordata; Actinopteri; Salmoniformes; Salmonidae
Exons: 3
Source: RefSeq, a predicted model, not a curated record